RNAcentral lists this ribosomal RNA (250 nucleotides) under uncultured prokaryote. RNAcentral's name for it is "partial 16S ribosomal RNA". It matches the Rfam family "Bacterial small subunit ribosomal RNA", at positions 524 to 774 of the family's 1533-position model. The record is from RNAcentral.
UACGGGGGGUGCAAGCGUUUCCGGAAUCAUUGGGCGUAAAGCGUUCGUAGGCUGUAUGUCAAGUCUGGUGUUAAAGCCCGGGGCUCAACUCCGGUUCGGCACUGGAUACUGGCAAACUAGAAUGUGGUAGGGGUAAAGGGAAUUCCUGGUGUAGCGGUGAAAUGCGUAGAUAUCAGGAGGAACAUCUGUGGCGAAAGCGCUUUACUGGGCCAUUAUUGACGCUGAGGAACGAAAGCCAGGGGAGCAAAUG